Molecule: long non-coding RNA, 224 nt
Filed under: Homo sapiens (human)
Lineage: Eukaryota; Metazoa; Chordata; Mammalia; Primates; Hominidae
Source: RNAcentral
GCUGAGACAGGAGAAUCGCUUGAACCUGGGAGACAGAGGUUGCAGUGAGCCAAGGGCUCAUAUGAUUAUGUCUGAGGCAUUCGAACCAGAGCGACUCCAUCUUGAGUUAGGACUAGGAAAAAUGAGGCUGGGACUUGCUGCGACUCCAUCUUGAGUGAGGACUAGGAAAAAUGAGGCUGGGACUUGCUGCGACUCCAUCUUGAGUGAGGACUAGGGAAAAUGAG